Molecule: long non-coding RNA, 215 nt
Filed under: Lathyrus oleraceus (garden pea)
Lineage: Eukaryota; Viridiplantae; Streptophyta; Magnoliopsida; Fabales; Fabaceae
Description: Pisum sativum (pea) long non-coding RNA (PSAT_LNC024911)
Source: RNAcentral
UUAAAUCCAAAAUUUCCAUUACUAGAAUCUGAUACAUUCAAAACAUGAAUUUACAAUCAAAAUUGGUCCACAUACAUUACAAAGGCUAAACGAUUAAUCUAAAUCAAAUAUAAAUUUACUAAAUCGAUUAAUCUAAUUUAAAUCCUAAACCUAAAAAUAAUGUAUAAAAGGCUAAACGAAAAAAAGAAAGAAAAGGGAGCCAGGAAGAAGCAAUC